RNAcentral lists this ribosomal RNA (1050 nucleotides) under Lulworthiales sp. RNAcentral's name for it is "SSU rRNA". It matches the Rfam family "Eukaryotic small subunit ribosomal RNA", at positions 57 to 1120 of the family's 1831-position model. RNAcentral also lists the same sequence under 1 other name. The record is from RNAcentral. Lineage: Eukaryota; Fungi; Ascomycota; Sordariomycetes; Lulworthiales.
GUCUAAGUAUAAGCAAUUAUACCGCGAAACUGCGAAUGGCUCAUUAAAUCAGUUAUCGUUUAUUUGAUAGUUCCCUACUACUUGGAUAACCGUGGUAAUUCUAGAGCUAAUACAUGCUAAAAACCGCGACUUCGGAAGCGGUGUAUUUAUUAGAUUAAAGACCAAUGCCCUAACGGGCUCACUGGUGAUUCAUGAUAACUUUUCGAAUCGCAUGGCCUUGCGCCGGCGAUGGUUCAUUCAAAUUUCUGCCCUAUCAACUUUCGACUUUAGUGUAGUGGACUAAAGUGGUUACAACGGGUAACGGAGGGUUAGGGCUCGACCCCGGAGAAGGAGCCUGAGAGACGGCUACUACAUCCAAGGAAGGCAGCAGGCGCGCAAAUUACCCAAUCCCGACACGGGGAGGUAGUGACAAUAAAUACUGAUACAGGGCUCUUUUGGGUCUUGUAAUUGGAAUGAGUACAAUUUAAAUCUCUUAACGAGGAACAAUUGGAGGGCAAGUCUGGUGCCAGCAGCCGCGGUAAUUCCAGCUCCAAUAGCGUAUAUUAAAGUUGUUGUGGUUAAAAAGCUCGUAGUUGAACCUGGGCCUCGCGCAGACCGGUCCGCCUCACCGCGUGCACUGGUCCUGCCGGGGCUUUCACUAGGGGAUUCGCAUGUCCUUCACUGGGCGUGCGCGGAACCUGGACUUUUACUGUGAAAAAAUUAGAGUGUUCAAAGCAGGCCUAUGCUCGAAUACAUUAGCAUGGAAUAAUAGAAUAGGACGUGUGGUUCUAUUUUGUUGGUUAUGGGACCGCCGUAAUGAUUAAUAGGGACAGUCGGGGGCAUCAGUAUUCAAUUGUCAGAGGUGAAAUUCUUGGAUUUAUUGAAGACUAACUACUGCGAAAGCAUUUGCCAAGGAUGUUUUCAUUAAUCAGGAACGAAAGUUAGGGGAUCGAAGACGAUCAGAUACCGUCGUAGUCUUAACCAUAAACUAUGCCGACUAGGGAUCGGGCGAUGUUACUUUUUGACUCGCUCGGCACCUUACGAGAAAUCAAAGUCUGUGGGUUCCUGGGG